Molecule: ribosomal RNA, 490 nt
Filed under: Novosphingobium sp.
Lineage: Bacteria; Pseudomonadati; Pseudomonadota; Alphaproteobacteria; Sphingomonadales; Sphingomonadaceae
Description: bacterial SSU rRNA
Rfam family: Bacterial small subunit ribosomal RNA
Source: RNAcentral
CAGCUAACGCAUUAAGUUAUCCGCCUGGGGAGUACGGUCGCAAGAUUAAAACUCAAAGGAAUUGACGGGGGCCUGCACAAGGGAGCAUGUGGUUUAAUUCGAAGCAACGCGCAGAACCUUACCAGCCUUUGACAUCCCGCGCUACUUCCAGAGAUGGAAGGUUCCCUUCGGGGACGCGGUGACAGGUGCUGCAUGGCUGUCGUCAGCUCGUGUCGUGAGAUGUUGGGUUAAGUCCCGCAACGAGCGCAACCCUCGUCCUUAGUUGCCAUCAUUUAGUUGGGCACUCUAAGGAAACCGCCGGUGAUAAGCCGGAGGAAGGUGGGGAUGACGUCAAGUCCUCAUGGCCCUUACAGGCUGGGCUACACACGUGCUACAAUGGCGGUGACAGUGGGCAGCAAGCACGCGAGUGUGAGCUAAUCUCCAAAAGCCGUUCAGUUCGGAUUGUUCUCUGCAACUCGAGAGCAGAAGGCGGAAUCGCUAGUAAUAAGAU